AGUUAUUACAUGUUGGAACAGUCCAAAUGUUCGAUAAUUACAACAUAGAUCAGUUUGAUACUGUAUUAUAACAUGAUGAUCAUUUUACUGAUAUUCCUAUACUCAAACAUAAAUAGGGGAGAAUGGAGGGGGUAAACUUCAAAAAUACACAUGACAACUAAAUCUUCACAUUGGAGUAUAUAUUUCAUUUGAACUUCAUGGAUACAAAAGCAUUGAGUGUACCUGUAAAGCAGCAGAAGAAUAGGCCUAUGAGUAAACAGAAUAGAUCAACUAAGCAACCAACAUCCAAUAAAACAGUAUUUCCAGACUUCAGUAGAAUUUUUUAGAGAGUUAAAUCUUCAGGAAAUGAUUCAAAGCAAUCCUAAUGGUAUUUUCAGAUAUAGAAUCAGUAUCUCAGCUUUAGAAUUGUAAAGAGAAGUUCUGUAUCCCUUCCAAUGCCCCCAAAUGGCUCAAUUUAUAGCAAAACUGUUAGGGCAUCAGAUUUUACUUGUUACUUUUUUAGUCCCUAACUCAAAUUGUAUUUUUGCCUAAGUAAUCCUUCAAUUUCUAACUUGUGCCUCAAGUUUGAGGCUGGAAUUAUGUGUUAGUCCUUGCUGGAAAGUUCUACAGGAUUCUUAUUAGAUUUUUUAUAAUUUAAAAUCCCUUUUAUACCCUUACUAUCUUUCCUAAAUUACCAUAUUAGUCCAAGGUUCUACAUGUUCCUGUCAGAUUUUUUAUAAUUUCAAAUUCCUUUUAUACCCUUAGUAACUUUCCUAAAUUACCCUACCCCUGAACUUGAUCUUGGUCAGUUCAGUUCAGUCCAAUUAACCUUGGUUAGUCAGCUUGAGUCACUAAUAAGCUCAUGAAAGUUCCCUUAGCCAAAAUUAACAGACUUCUUCAAGCAUUAUAUAGGAUUAACACACAGAAGACCAGAAAAGUGAAUCAUUUAUCAGCACUGAAGACCAAAACUAGCAUGAAUUAAUGAUUAAGCAUUCAGUGGUACAAUCAGACAGUCAAACUAAUUAUAAAAUAAGUAAAUCAAUAAAAUUCAUCAAAUUAUGAGAAUCAUAUCACUUGAAAAGCUAAUUAUAACAGGAUGCUGAACUAAUGACAAACAAACAAGCAUAUGAACAUUAAACCCUAAUCUUAGAAGAACUUUGUGGACAACCAGAUAAACAACCAAAACUAAAAGAAAUGCAGACUUUAAAAUGUAUAUUAACCUAAUCAAUUAUUCCAGGCUUAGUGACAAACAAACAAACAUGAACAUUGAACCCUAAUUUCCAGAAGAACUUAUGGACAACCAGAUAAGCAACUAGAAUCAAAUAACAGAAGUUCAGACUUUAAUAAUGGAAAUUAAUCAAUUAUCAAAAGCUAAAAAAAUGGAAAAUAGGCAGGAAAACUUAGCUUUCAUAAUUUAUUCCCUUUUAAACCAUCCUAGUUGGACAUUGAUUCUUCCACAGGGGUUCUGAACGCUCCUAGGACGAUGAUAAACAUUUUACAAUCUUGGGCUUUUUUUCAAAGUUCUAAGACCUCACUAGGUCUCAGAUUUGGAAUUUUGGGUAGUUGGGGGUUGUUUGAGACUCGAGGGUAGCAUGGUUGGUGUAAGGGAGGAUCAGGGACUGCCUGGGGGAAGUUUGGACCAUUUCCGGCAUGUUUGGAAUUUUAGGGUUGGCCUUCGGAUUAAUAUUCGAGGGGUUUCAUGGUAAUUUGAGAGUGGUGAUGUGCAUGGUUGGAACGGGUAGGUCAGGGUGUUUUAGUGGUGUAGUUUUGGG
Molecule: long non-coding RNA, 1751 nt
Filed under: Nicotiana benthamiana
Lineage: Eukaryota; Viridiplantae; Streptophyta; Magnoliopsida; Solanales; Solanaceae
Description: long non-coding RNA (NBEN_LNC040790)
Source: RNAcentral